Molecule: ribosomal RNA, 1369 nt
Filed under: uncultured bacterium
Lineage: Bacteria
Description: bacterial SSU rRNA
Rfam family: Bacterial small subunit ribosomal RNA
Source: RNAcentral
UUUGAUCCUGGCUCAGGAUGAACGCUAGCGGCAGGCCUAACACAUGCAAGUCGAGGGAGAAGCCUUUCGGGGCAGAAACCGGCGCACGGGUGCGUAACGCGUAUGCAACCUACCUUUCACAGGGGGAUAGCCCGAAGAAAUUUGGAUUAAUACCCCAUAAUAUUGUUGGAUGGCAUCAUUUGGCAAUUAAAACUGAGGUGGUGAAAGAUGGGCAUGCGUCCUAUUAGCUAGUUGGAGUGGUAACGGCACCCCAAGGCUACGAUAGGUAGGGGUCCUGAGAGGGAGAUUCCCCCACACUGGUACUGAGACAGGGACCAGACUCCUACGGGAGGCAGCAGUGAGGAAUAUUGGUCAAUGGUCGGAAGACUGAACCAGCCAUGCCGCGUGCAGGAAGAAUGCCUUAUGGGUUGUAAACUGCUUUUAUAUGGGAAGAAUAAGGUGUACGUGUACAUUGAUGACGGUACCAUAUGAAUAAGCAUCGGCUAACUCCGUGCCAGCAGCCGCGGUAAUACGGAGGAUGCGAGCGUUAUUCGGAAUCAUUGGGUUUAAAGGGUCUGUAGGCGGGCUAUUAAGUCAGGGGUGAAAGGUUUCAGCUUAACUGAGAAAUUGCCUUUGAUACUGGUAGUCUUGAAUAUCUGUGAAGUUCUUGGAAUGUGUAGUGUAGCGGUGAAAUGCUUAGAUAUUACACAGAACACCGAUUGCGGAGGCAGGGGACUAACAGACGAUUGACGCUGAGAGACGAAAGCGUGGGGAGCGAACAGGAUUAGAUACCCUGGUAGUCCACGCUGUAAACGAUGGAUACUAGCUGUUUGGAGAAAUUUGAGUGGCUAAGCGAAAGUGAUAAGUAUCCCACCUGGGGAGUACGCACGCAAGUGUGAAAACUCAAAAGGAAUUGACGGGGGCCCGCACAAGCGGUGGAGCAUGUGGUUUAAAUUCGAUGAUACGCGAGGAAACCUUACCAAGGUUUAAAAUGGAGACUGACAGGGGCAGAGAUGCCUUUUUCUUCGGACAGUUUUCAAGGUGCUGCAUGGUUGUCGUCAGCUCGUGCCGUGAGGUGUCAGGUUAAGUCCUAUAACGAGCGCAACCCCUAUUGUUAGUUACCAGCACGUAAUGGUGGGGACUCUAGCAAGACUGCCGGUGUAAACCGUGAGGAAGGUGGGGAUGACGUCAAAAUCAUCACGGCCCUUACAUCUUGGGCUACAACAACGUGCUACAAUGGUCGUUACAGAGAGCAAGCCAACUGCGCGAGCAGGAGCGAAAUCUAUAAAGAACGGUCAACAGUUCGGAUCGGGUUCUGCGACUGGACUCCGUGAGGCGGGAUUCGCUAUUAUUGGGUGUCCGCCCGGUUCCGGGUGAUUACGUUCCCCGG